Long non-coding RNA from Erigeron canadensis, 413 nucleotides. RefSeq lists it as uncharacterized. The transcript is spliced from 2 exons. The record is from RefSeq and is a predicted model, not a curated record. Lineage: Eukaryota; Viridiplantae; Streptophyta; Magnoliopsida; Asterales; Asteraceae.
GCACAACAUGAACACUUUCUUGUCACUUUUUUUGCUAACUCUCACACUGCUUCUUAUGAGAAGUGUCAAUAUACAUGGUCUUCAAGUGGAAGGCGCGAGGGUGGUAUUUACCAAUCAUGGAGCAGAUACUUUGCAGAUUGCAGGUUCAAGAUAUCCAGACUGUAUGCAUGCAUGUGGCUCAUGUUCACCUUGCCGCUUAGUGAGGGUUCGGUUCAUUUGUUCAGUUGGACCAGCCGAAGCCGAGACUUGUCCAGUGGCUUAUAAGUGCAUGUGUAGUAACAGAACUUAUCAUGUACCAUAAACAAAAUGCCAAAUAAAUUUUAAUGUAAUAGUAAUGGCAAGUUGGCAACCUCUAUAUAUGAGACAACACAGGUUACAAAAUGAAAUAGUCUGUCUAAACAAAUUUUUAUGUA